UUUGCUUCUGGGACCUUGAAGUGAAAAAAUUCUCCAAGUUAUAUCUGUUCUUAUCACUUUAAUAUCUGAUAUGUCCUUUAAUUGAGGACUGUAUAUUAAAGAUUUUUGAAACAGGGGGAUGGAAUAGGAGCUUGCUCUGUCCUCUCCAUUACUUGCAUCUGAAGAAGUGAGGUUAUUACCC
RNAcentral lists this small nuclear RNA (181 nucleotides) under Terrapene triunguis (Three-toed box turtle). RNAcentral describes it as "Terrapene carolina triunguis (Three-toed box turtle) U2 spliceosomal RNA (ENSTMTG00000020826.1)". It matches the Rfam family "U2 spliceosomal RNA". From Rfam's summary of the family: U2 is a small nuclear RNA (snRNA) component of the spliceosome (involved in pre-mRNA splicing). Lineage: Eukaryota; Metazoa; Chordata; Testudines; Emydidae. The record is from Rfam by way of RNAcentral.